CAGCCGCGGUAAUACGAAGGGGGCUAGCGUUGUUCGGAAUCACUGGGCGUAAAGCGCGUGUAGGUGGGUAUGCAAGCCAGGGGUGAAAGCCCAGAGCUCAACUCUGGAAUUGCCUUUGGAACUGCAUAUCUAGAGUCUUGUAGGGGGUAGUGGAAUUCCUAGUGUAGAGGUGAAAUUCGUAGAUACUAGGAGGAACACCGGUGGCGAAGGCGGCUACCUGGACGAGAACUGACACUGAGACGCGAAAGCGUGGGGAUCAAACAGGAUUAGAUACCCUGGUAGUCCACGCUGUAAACGAUGCACACUAGGUGUUGGGCCUUUAGGCUCAGUGCCGUCGCUAACGCAUUAAGUGUGCCGCCUGGGAAGUACGGUCGCAAGAUUAAAACUCAAAGGAAUUGACGGGGACCCGCACAAGCGGUGGAGCAUGUGGUUUAAUUCGAGGCAACGCGAAGAACCUUACCAGGACUUGACAUGCUGGUCGCGGAUCGUAGAGAUACUUUCCUUCAGUUAGGCUGGACCAUGCACAGGUGCUGCACGGCUGUCGUCAGCUCGUGUCGUGAGAUGUUGGGUUAAGUCCCGCAACGAGCGCAACCCUCGCCCUUAGUUGCUAACAUUCAGUUGAGAACUCUAAGGGAACUGCCGGCGUUAAGCCGGAGGAAGGUGGGGACGACGUCAAGUCAUCAUGGCCCUUACGUCCUGGGCUACACACGUGCUACAAUGGCAGUGACAAUGGGCCAAUCCAUAAAAGCUGUCUCAGUUCGGAUUGUCCUCUGCAACUCGAGGGCAUGAAGUCGGAAUCGCUAGUAAUCGCAGAUCAGCAUGCUGCGGUGAAUACGUUCCCGGGUCUUGU
This 850-nucleotide ribosomal RNA is filed under the name uncultured Alphaproteobacteria bacterium. Its description in RNAcentral is "bacterial SSU rRNA". It matches the Rfam family "Bacterial small subunit ribosomal RNA", at positions 512 to 1384 of the family's 1533-position model. Lineage: Bacteria; Pseudomonadati; Pseudomonadota; Alphaproteobacteria. The record is from RNAcentral.